UACGAGGGGAGCAAGCGUUGUUCGGAUUUACUGGGCGUAAAGGGCGCGUAGGCGGUCGUGACAAGUCACUUGUGAAAUCUCCGGGCUUAACUCGGAACGGUCAAGUGAUACUGUCGGACUAGAGUACAGAAGGGGCAACUGGAAUUCUCGGCGUAGCGGUGAAAUGCGUAGAUAUCGAGAGGAACACCUGCGGCGAAGGCGGGUUGCUGGGCUGAUACUGACGCUGAUGCGCGAAAGCCAGGGGAGCGAACGGG
Molecule: ribosomal RNA, 254 nt
Filed under: uncultured bacterium
Lineage: Bacteria
Description: partial 16S ribosomal RNA
Rfam family: Bacterial small subunit ribosomal RNA
Source: RNAcentral